GAUGAACGCUGGCGGCGUGCCUAAUACAUGCAAGUCGAGCGAACGGACGAGAAGCUUGCUUCUCUGAUGUUAGCGGCGGACGGGUGAGUAACACGUGGAUAACCUACCUAUAAGACUGGGAUAACUUCGGGAAACCGGCGCUAAUACCGGAUAAUAUUUUGAACCGCAUGGUUCAAAAGUGAAAGACGGUCUUGCUGUAACUUAUAGAUGGAUCCGCGCUGCAUUAGCUAGUUGGUAAGGUAACGGCUUACCAAGGCAACGAUGCAUAGCCGACCUGAGAGGGUGAUCGGCCACACUGGAACUGAGACACGGUCCAGACUCCUACGGGAGGCAGCAGUAGGGAAUCUUCCGCAAUGGGCGAAAGCCUGACGGAGCAACGCCGCGUGAGUGAUGAAGGUCUUCGGAUCGUAAAACUCUGUUAUUAGGGAAGAACAUAUGUGUAAGUAACUGUGCACAUCUUGACGGUACCUAAUCAGAAAGCCACGGCUAACUACGUG
This 497-nucleotide ribosomal RNA is filed under the name uncultured bacterium. RNAcentral's name for it is "partial 16S ribosomal RNA". It matches the Rfam family "Bacterial small subunit ribosomal RNA", at positions 28 to 507 of the family's 1533-position model. The record is from RNAcentral.